UGUACGAGAUCGGAAUUGCUCACGAUUUUUACCCCAUUCCUACUUCUUCCUUCCCGUUCACGCCAAGCGGGAAACCAAGAGGUUGCCAACUCUCUUCCCCCCAACUCCCGACCUCUCCCCCAACUUUCUCUGCCUCUACCUCUGCCUCUGCCUUUCUGGUGGUGGUCAAUAGCUUCCCUCUCACACUCUCUGUAGACUGUAGAGUAGCCACCAACGAGCCAAGGAUUUGCUGUGUCACAGAGGUGAUGCCUAUGGUAGGGCUGCUGCUUCACAAGAUGUGCUAACAGUGAAAGAAGAGGAGGCCACUGAUACUUCUACACCACAAAACUCUUCAAUUGCUUCUAAUGCAGUUGAUGCAUAGUGAUUUAGAUAUGUCUUCGAGCAGGUAUUUUCUUAUUCUUCUGAAUUUAUCUUCUAUGAGCUAUAAUCUAUACUAAAUUACUUGAUUUGGAUAUAUGCUCUGGGUUACUUGAUUUGGGUAUCAAAUACCGUGGUUCAAGGUUGUGAAUCUAUAGAUUAUGGGGUGGUUCAUUUAUUUGGGUCAUUUCCUGAUGUCUUUUCAAAUUUUGAAGUGGUAAUUGAUAUGAUGUUAGUAGAAUAAGAUGUUUGGGAAUAAUGGAAUGUGUUCCUAAACAAAAUUGAUGCUUUGAUCAUCCAAAUAAGGAUGAAGGCACCUUCAUACUUUCUACUAACAUCAUAUGUAGCACAUUGAAUUGUACCAUCGCAAUCCCUGCAAGCAUAGUUGUCACGGUGUCUUGGUGACAUGGAGGUCUGGAUGUAAGGUGACACCAGUGAGGCACCCACCUUGACAACCAAGGCGACCCUAGUUGUCAAGGCGCCUGGAUGCCGAGGCGGUCGCCUUGGCAAUGCCUUGACAACUAUGCCUGGAAGUAUGAGUUUUGAGGAAAAAGUAGUGAUUUAUACUGUAUCACCUUCAAGGAACAGUUCAGGUAUCUUCUUGGCUUCAAGAAAGUACAAAGGUGCCUUUAUGAUGACUGCUCCAUGGAAAAUAUAAGGCCAUUAAGAAACAGCAAAUUCUUUGGAUGUAGCACAAGUUCCAGUAUGCAUAUAUUUGUUGGUCUCAUAGGGAGAUAGAUAUUCAGCUAGGGUGAAUAUAUUCCACUAUAUUCAGGUCAAAAUUUGUCAAACAAUUCCAUGACAGGCAGCUUUUCAGCCAAGCAGGAUGGGAUAUCAAAGGGAUUUCUCCAUGAAACACCAUGAAGCAGCCGAUAAAGGAGUGGUACAGAGCAAAUUUAUGGCUUAAUACCCUAUUGAUUACAACUUAUACUUCUACAAUGUGCAUUGGAUUGAAGAGGAGCCUACUGUAGGAAUGCAGCCUUGAGGGUGUGGGGAGUUGGAAGAAGUCUAGAUGAUAUGGGAAAUUGAAGAUUUGAAUUGAUAUAUAUCAAUAACUUGAACCUGAACAUUCACAAACACCAGACCAAAUCCACAAUCCAAGCCAUUGAAACGCAAGUGUCACCCAUGUAGUGGAGAAGCUUUAAUGAAACCUGGUAUUACUUUUGGAGGCUUUAGGAAAAUUGAACUAACUGAUCUCUCACAAGCGAGUGGGAUGUUGGUUAGGGGGAGCAAAAGUGGUGGUUUCAUAAAGGAUACUUGGAUUCUAUUAUAUGGACGAUCUCCUAUUGUUUCCGCAAGAUAAAUGCAGUGGCGGAUAGGCUGGCGAAGCAUGCCACUGCCACAAGAAGUUCAAAAACCUGGGAUGUAGCUCCAGCUUUUAUUAUUUCUGAUCUGAAUGGGAGGGCCAGCAUAGGCCUCGAUUCAGGUUUAUGUAACUCUUCUUCUAAUUGCUUUGAUUUCCUGUUCAGCUAAUGGCCAUGCUGAAGGUGGAGCAGGAUCUCAAAGGGCUUACUUUUGUAAACUAUCAUUUUUCUGAUUCUAAUACAUUCUUUGCUGACCUUUAGGGGAAAAAAAAAGAGACAAUCUAGUCCAACGCAAUCUUUUGUUCUCUUGAAGACUUGACACAGUGUUAGCAUUAUUCAUUGCAUGCACUCCCCCCAUUCUUUCAUCUUUCUUUGCUAGAAUUGAAAUGCCAUUUCUCAUGCUUUAUUUGUAGUUUUAAUACUUAUAUCGUUUUGUGAUUUCAGAUUCCAUUUUGAUAUGUUUUAGGAAUCAUAUGUUGCAGGCCUUCAAUGCCAUACUCUUAAGGUUCACUCUAGUGGUGGGUCUUCCCUUGGUUACCUGUUUGGUGGUGGUGAAAAGUAAAAGCAUUAACCCCCAAAGCACAAAGCUGUUUUAUUGACUGUUCAGGACCUGUACUAGCUUGGAAGAAACAGUAUUUCAUUCUAGUAGAAAAUGCAGACAGUUUGAUCUUGCAUUGUAAAGGAAAGAGGAAUGAGGAAUGGGAUGGGUUGGUUGGACGUUUUGGGCCUUAUGGCAUGACAGACUAGCCAAUUUAAAUUUGUUCAUAGGCAUAUGGUUUUUUUUUUUCUGGAGCCUCAAUUGGAGGAUGCAAUUUAGGUGUUUUUUCACUACCAGAAACUCCCAAGUAGCUGGAAGGCAGAAUGGGCCAAAAGGAACCGGAUUCUCUCCAGCCAGCAGUCCGAUGUGCGCUGGAGAGGAUCUGGGUCCGGCCAGAAUUGCAUCAAUACAUACUAAACUGUCGUUUCAUGUAGUGUAUCAAUGACUAAAAAAAAAAAGUCGUUUCUAAUAGAUUAAAAUUAUAGCUA
This is a long non-coding RNA of Macadamia integrifolia, 2687 nucleotides long. RefSeq lists it as uncharacterized. Lineage: Eukaryota; Viridiplantae; Streptophyta; Magnoliopsida; Proteales; Proteaceae. The transcript has 2 exons. The record is from RefSeq and is a predicted model, not a curated record.